This 485-nucleotide ribosomal RNA is filed under the name uncultured bacterium. Its description in RNAcentral is "partial 16S ribosomal RNA". It matches the Rfam family "Bacterial small subunit ribosomal RNA", at positions 355 to 831 of the family's 1533-position model. The record is from RNAcentral.
UGGGGAAUUUUGGACGAAUGGGCGAAAGCCGAUCCAGCAAUGCCGCGUGUGUGAAGAAGGCCUUCGGGUUGUAAAGCACUUUUGUCCGGAAAGAAAUCCUUGGCUCUAAUACAGUCGGGGGAUGACGGUACCGGAAGAAUAAGCACCGGCUAACUACGUGCCAGCAGCCGCGGUAAUACGUAGGGUGCAAGCGUUAAUCGGAAUUACUGGGCGUAAAGCGUGCGCAGGCGGUUUGCUAAGACCGAUGUGAAAUCCCCGGGCUCAACCUGGGAACUGCAUUGGUGACUGGGCAGGCUAGAGUAUGGCAGAGGGGGGUAGAAUUCCACGUGUAGCAGUGAAAUGCGUAGAGAUGUGGAGGAAUACCGAUGGCGAAGGCAGCCCCCUGGGCAAGUACUGACGCUCAUGCACGAAAGCGUGGGGAGCAAACGGAUUAAUACCCCUGGUAGUCCACGCCCUAAAANGAUGUCAACUAGUUGUUGGGGAUU